GUGAUCAUCCAUUAGAGCGGUCCAGAGUCGCUGAGAUAACACGGUGUGCAGCUGGAUGAACACAGCAGGUCAAGCUGUAUCGGAGGAGCAGGAAAGCUGAUGUUUCGGGCCUAGCUCCUUCGCUGAGACCAAGAUUUGUGCAACGGAGAUACCAGCGAUCGUUGCCAAAGCCCUGUUACCUGUGGAGAAGGUGAUAUUUAACUUUUGUGUGCUGCUGCAGUUCGUAUGAUGAAGGUGCUCCCACAAUGCGGCCGUUUGAGAAGUUUCAGCUCGGUCAUCUAGCGAUACUGAAGAGCUGAUGAUUUCCACAAUUUUACUUCUGCACUAUUCUUAGUCUUUCAGAGGGAUCAAAAGAUUGAGUUACAGAUCUAUACAAUGACUGUCCUUCCUCCCUGGCUCUCCCACCUCUCUCUUUUGGUAGUUUGAUGCAAACACUGACUGGAUCCCUUACCUGGAGGAUAUUUGUGAAUGAAUUUGUUCUAAUGGUGAUCUAGCAUAUUCCCCAAGUGUUGCUCCACACAUGUCCAGAGAAUUUCUCAGUUUCACAAUGUGUGUGUCCUUCUGGUUUCUUACUCGCUACACUUACUUUCUGUUUGAAAGUAUAGUCUGCAGUCGGACAAUUCAAACUGUUCCACAUCCAGGUCUGACAGUCACUUUGUUUAUCACAAACCCAAUUUUCUCAGGAUUUUGAACAUUGAAGGAAAAAGCAGCACUCAUAGUGGGGAGAAAAGCACAUGGUGUGUAUGUUGAAGAGUCUGUGAAGAUUCAUCUGAAAUGUCCAAACACCAGUGCAGUGACACUGGGAGAGAGUGUGGAAAUGUGCAGAUUGCAGGAAGGAAUUUCUUCAUCGAUCCCAGCUAGAAACUGACCACCAGAGGCACACUGGAGAGAGACCAUUGACCUGUUCUGCAUGAGGGAAAGGCUUUGCUGACUGGAAUUCCCCACUGAUACACCAGCGAGUUCACUCUGGGGAGAGACCUUUCAUGAGCUCUGAGUGUGGGAAGGGAUUCAUUGUCAUCCAAACUGUUAACACACCAGCGAGUUCACAGACAACCACAGUUGAAGGACUUUGCUGUCACUCUCACUAGCAAAUGAACCAUGGUUUUGGGCUGUUUGUACAGAUGUUACUGAUCCCUGCUCAAUUAAAGGUGCUGGUAUUGUGAAUAAAAUGUCACACUAACAGUUGUGUAAGGUAGAGCUUGGAAAUAGUCACGUUGUCACAACACAUCGACACAUUCACACUGACUAAAGACUAUCCACCUGCACGAUAUGUGAAAAGGGAUUUCCUCGUUUAUCAGGACUGGUUAACUACCAGCAAAUUUCUGAAUAAGUUGAUUUGGUUUCAAUAUAGCUAACAGUAGAAUCAAAAAUAGUAUCAGUGAUAAUGGGAACUGCAGAUGCUGGAGAAUCCAAGACAACAAAAUGUGGAGCUGGAUGAACACAG
This is a long non-coding RNA of Stegostoma tigrinum, 1444 nucleotides long. RefSeq lists it as uncharacterized. The transcript is spliced from 3 exons. NCBI's taxonomy places the organism in Eukaryota, Metazoa, Chordata, Chondrichthyes, Orectolobiformes, Stegostomatidae. The record is from RefSeq and is a predicted model, not a curated record.